This 253-nucleotide ribosomal RNA is filed under the name uncultured bacterium. RNAcentral describes it as "partial 16S ribosomal RNA". It matches the Rfam family "Bacterial small subunit ribosomal RNA", at positions 524 to 776 of the family's 1533-position model. The record is from RNAcentral.
UACGUAGGGUGCGAGCGUUGUCCGGAAUUAUUGGGCGUAAAGGGCUCGUAGGCGGUUUGUCGCGUCGGGAGUGAAAACGCCGUGCUUAACACGGCGCUUGCUUUCGAUACGGGCAGACUAGAGGUAUGCAGGGGAGAACGGAAUUCCUGGUGUAGCGGUGAAAUGCGCAGAUAUCAGGAGGAACACCGGUGGCGAAGGCGGUUCUCUGGGCCUUACCUGACGCUGAGGAGCGAAAGCAUGGGGAGCAAACAGG